UAAUUUUUUAAGGAUGAUUUGAAAGGAGGAUUUACUUCUAGAUGUUAAAUAAGUUUCCCUACAAGAUGUACACAUGGAAGAAACAGCCACCGGGGAUGAACAACUUCUCAAGGGAAGCAAAGAGAAACAGAGCAACAGCCCGACUGGAACAUGUGCUGCGAAAAUGAAGGAAGAUCUGACUGCAGCUUCUGGAGCUCUUGCAGGGAGAUACUGUUCAAAACAAGCUGCCCUGAUUUUCAAGCCACUCACUCUUAGUGUGCUAAGGAGAAAGGAGGGAGCGGUA
RNAcentral lists this long non-coding RNA (283 nucleotides) under Ictidomys tridecemlineatus (thirteen-lined ground squirrel). Its description in RNAcentral is "lncRNA (ENSSTOG00000032801.1)". The record is from RNAcentral. Lineage: Eukaryota; Metazoa; Chordata; Mammalia; Rodentia; Sciuridae.